Ipomoea nil (Japanese morning glory) is the source of this 81-nucleotide transfer RNA. It matches the Rfam family "tRNA". Rfam says of the family: Transfer RNA (tRNA) molecules are approximately 80 nucleotides in length. The record is from Rfam. Lineage: Eukaryota; Viridiplantae; Streptophyta; Magnoliopsida; Solanales; Convolvulaceae.
GCCAAGAUGGCCGAGUUGGUCUAAGGCACCAGUUUUAGGUACUGGUUCGAAAGGGCAUGGGUUCAAAUCCCAUUGUUGAAA